UGAGCAAUCUGCCCUUCUCUUCGGAAUAAGCGUUGGAAACGACGUCUAAUACCGAAUACGACCUCCUUUCGCAUGAUCGGAGGUGGAAAGCUCCGGCGGAGAAGGAUGAGCUCGCGGCCUAUCAGCUAGUUGGUGUGGGUAAUGGCCCACCAAGGCGACGACGGGUAGCCGGCCUGAGAGGGUGACCGGCCACACUGGGACUGAGACACGGCCCAGACUCCUGCGGGAGGNAG
RNAcentral lists this ribosomal RNA (233 nucleotides) under uncultured bacterium. RNAcentral's name for it is "partial 16S ribosomal RNA". It matches the Rfam family "Bacterial small subunit ribosomal RNA", at positions 118 to 351 of the family's 1533-position model. The record is from RNAcentral.